This 72-nucleotide transfer RNA is filed under the name Marmota marmota marmota (Alpine marmot). It matches the Rfam family "tRNA". Rfam says of the family: Transfer RNA (tRNA) molecules are approximately 80 nucleotides in length. Their secondary structure includes four short double-helical elements and three loops (D, anti-codon, and T loops). The record is from Rfam by way of RNAcentral. Lineage: Eukaryota; Metazoa; Chordata; Mammalia; Rodentia; Sciuridae. RNAcentral also lists the same sequence under 1 other name.
UGGGUUGUGGCUCAGUGGUAGAGCGCUCACCUAGCAUGUGCAAGGCCCUGGGUUCGAUCCUCAGCACCACAU